Molecule: ribosomal RNA, 505 nt
Filed under: uncultured bacterium
Lineage: Bacteria
Description: partial 16S ribosomal RNA
Rfam family: Bacterial small subunit ribosomal RNA
Source: RNAcentral
GACGAACGCUGGCGGCGUGCCUAAUACAUGCAAGUAGAACGCACAGUUUAUACCGUAGCUUGCUACACCAUAGACUGUGAGUUGCGAACGGGUGAGUAACGCGUAGGUAACCUGCCUGGUAGCGGGGGAUAACUAUUGGAAACGAUAGCUAAUACCGCAUAAUAUUAAUUAUUGCAUGAUAAUUGAUUGAAAGAUGCAACUGCAUCACUACCAGAUGGACCUGCGUUGUAUUAGCUAGUAGGUGAGGUAACGGCUCACCUAGGCGACGAUACAUAGCCGACCUGAGAGGGUGAUCGGCCACACUGGGACUGAGACACGGCCCAGACUCCUACGGGAGGCAGCAGUAGGGAAUCUUCGGCAAUGGACGAAAGUCUGACCGAGCAACGCCGCGUGAGUGAAGAAGGUUUUCGGAUCGUAAAGCUCUGUUGUAAGAGAAGAACGGGUGUGAGAGUGGAAAGUUCACACUGCGACGGUAUCUUACCAGAAAGGGACGGCUAACUACGUG